This 253-nucleotide ribosomal RNA is filed under the name uncultured bacterium. RNAcentral's name for it is "partial 16S ribosomal RNA". It matches the Rfam family "Bacterial small subunit ribosomal RNA", at positions 524 to 776 of the family's 1533-position model. The record is from RNAcentral.
UACGGAGGGUGCAAGCGUUAAUCGGAAUUACUGGGCGUAAAGCGCGCGUAGGCGGCUAGAUAAGUCGGAUGUGAAAGCCCCGGGCUCAACCUGGGAACUGCAUACGAUACUGUCUGGCUAGAGUAUGAGAGAGGGAGGUAGAAUUCCACGUGGAGCGGUGAAAUGCGUAGAUAUGUGGAUGAAUACCGGUAGCGAAGGCGGCCUCCUGGCUUAAUACUUACGCUGAGGUGCGAAAGCGUGGGGAGCAAACAGG